Budorcas taxicolor (takin) is the source of this 2253-nucleotide non-coding RNA. The record is from the annotation of a RefSeq genome assembly. NCBI's taxonomy places the organism in Eukaryota, Metazoa, Chordata, Mammalia, Artiodactyla, Bovidae.
AUGGGUCCGGGAUCCUACCCUUUUGCGUCAGAAACACUGGGCUUUCAGGUCUGUGAGGGCAGCCCUGGGCUGCCCACAGCAGGCUUGAGCUGGGCUGAGCUGGGCUGGGCCAACCGGAAGGUGGAGCUGCCCACACCCCCGACCAGCAAGACGCCUCUCACCCCCACUUCUCUUGUGUCUUCUCUCGGGUCCCCAGAAAGUGAAUCUCACCCGAAAGUCUUCCCCCUGGUGUCCUGUGUGAGCUCCCCGUCUGAUGAGAACACGGUGGCCCUGGGCUGCCUGGCCCGGGACUUCGUGCCCAAUUCUGUCAGCUUCUCCUGGAAGUUCAACAACAGCACAGUCAGCAGCGAGAAAUUCUGGACCUUCCCCGAAGUCCUGAGGGAUGGCUUGUGGUCGGCCUCCUCUCAGGUGGCCCUGCAUUCCUCAAGCGCCUUUCAAGGGACGGAUGGCUACCUGGUGUGUGAAGUCCAGCACCCCAAGGGAGGAAAGACCAUCACGACCACAAAGGUGGUCCCCAGAGUUUCUGCAUCAACUCUGACCCCGACCACGCUAGCACCGUCUCUGAAAUCCAGGUCAGAGGGCUCCAGCAGAGCCGUCACCACUCAGAGCAGCCCAGUGCCGGCCACCAGCCACAGCCAGACAGAAGCCCGGACACUAGCGUAUCCAAAGGACCCCUGCAGAGAGUGUCAGAACCACACCCAGGCCCUCAGCGUCCGCCUGUUGCCCCCGCCCCCGCAGGGCCUCUGGCUUUUGGACAAGGCAGAGUUCACCUGCCUGGCCAUGGGGGAGGCCCUGCCGGAUGCCCGCUUCUCCUGGGAGGUGAAUGGGCAGCCCCAUGGCGGGGCCAUGGAGGAGAGACCCACCUGGCACAUGAACGGCUCCUGGAGCCAGAGCAGCCGCCUGGCCCUGCCCAGGUCCCUGUGGGCCUCGGGCUCCAACAUCACCUGCACGCUGAGCAGCCCUGGCCUGCGGUCACCAGUGACCCUGACAGCACAGAGAGAGCAUGCUGCCUCAGUGCCCGGCAAUCUGACCCUCCGCACUCUGACCACGCCUGGCCGCUUCUUCCCUGCCUGGCUCCUGUGCGAGGUGUCCGGCUUCUCACCCGUGGACAUCCUCCUCACAUGGCUGGAGGGCCAGCAAGAAGUGGAGCCUUCCCAGUUUGCCACAGCGCACACCACAGCCCAGGCUGGGCAUGCCUCAUUCCACACCUGGAGUGUCCUGCAUGUCUCCAGCCCCCUGGACCACGUGGGGUCCACCUACACCUGUGUGGUCAGCCACGAGGCCUCCCGGACGCUCCUCAAUGGCAGCUGCAGCCUGGACACUGGUGGCCUGGCCACCUGGCCGCCCUGGAGCCAGGACGAGAGCAGCGAUGACAGCGCAGAUGUGGAGGAUGCCGGCCCCCUCUGGCUCACCUUCCUGGCCCUCUUCCUCGUCACUGUGGUCUACGGCGGCUUCGUCACCUUCAUCAAGGCAGGUGAAGUAGCCCCGGAGAGCAGACGCUGGCUCCACAUGGAAGGACCUGGCCUCCACGCUGCCUGCUGCUCCUGGAGGGCAGAGGAGCCCACGCUGGACCCCACCCUGCGCACAGAGGCCUUGCGGCCCCACACUCAGUCCACCACAGAGCCCAGCUCCCAGCCCAAGAGGAGGGCAUCGUGCCCUCAGACCUUCCAGGAGGAGGGCACCCUGUGUCUGGCCAGCCCAGUGCUGGAUACGGUGCCACUCCUCUUGUUGGCUCCAGACUCUACACCAUUCAUCCCCGCUCACGGGCCGGUUCUGAUUCUGCCUGCUCACGGGCCGGUUCCCCUGCUCAACGGGCCGGUUGCCCUGCUCACGGGCCGGUUCCCCUGCUCACGGGUCGGUUCCCCUGCUCACGGGCCGGUUCCCCUGCUCACGGGGCCGAGCAGCUUCCGGACAGAUGAUCCCCAGCCUCCGUGGGGCCAGCUCACCUGCCGGCGCCCCGCCUCCUCUUAUUACGAUUCCAUCAGCCUUUGGUUUCCUGAGAGGCAGCAGUCCUCGCUGAAGGGCCUCGAGGGGCUUCUGUUUCCUGGGUUAAACCUGAAUGUGCACAAGAAUGAAAAGUCCUUCCAGAAACAGAUCCUGAGGGAGGGGCAGGCACCGCGCUCUGUCCUGGGAGCAGCGGCCGUCGGGAUCUGGGGAGGCGGGUGUGAGGCCCGGUACCCGGCAGCCACGGGGCAGAUGGGAAGGAGAAACCUGGGCUACAGGUGGGUGGACCCCACGGGCCUGACCCUCUAA